Pelobates cultripes (western spadefoot toad) is the source of this 230-nucleotide non-coding RNA. NCBI's taxonomy places the organism in Eukaryota, Metazoa, Chordata, Amphibia, Anura, Pelobatidae. The record is from the annotation of a GenBank genome assembly.
CCCUACUCCAACUACUUGCUUGUGUUUGUGCAAAAACAAAAAUAUAUUUGCUAACACUUACACUUGCUAGAUACAUUUGAACACUGAAAACUCAGAUAUAUGAAGGUGUAGCUGUGACAAAAGCAGCAUACUUGGAAAACAAUUGCCUAUGCACAUACAUAUAAACCGAUUAUUACUGGGAAGAAAAAUUGGCAGUGAGACCUAAAUGAAUAUCCUUUUCUAAGGGGCCA